GUCCUCGUAGUUCAACUGGAUAGAACAUAUGCCUCCGGAGCAUAAGGUUGUAGGUUCAAAUCCUGCCGGGGACACCA
RNAcentral lists this transfer RNA (77 nucleotides) under Alphaproteobacteria bacterium MarineAlpha9_Bin2. Its description in RNAcentral is "tRNA-Arg". It matches the Rfam family "tRNA". Rfam says of the family: Transfer RNA (tRNA) molecules are approximately 80 nucleotides in length. Their secondary structure includes four short double-helical elements and three loops (D, anti-codon, and T loops). Lineage: Bacteria; Pseudomonadati; Pseudomonadota; Alphaproteobacteria. The record is from RNAcentral.